RNAcentral lists this ribosomal RNA (497 nucleotides) under uncultured bacterium. RNAcentral describes it as "partial 16S ribosomal RNA". It matches the Rfam family "Bacterial small subunit ribosomal RNA", at positions 28 to 507 of the family's 1533-position model. The record is from RNAcentral.
GAUGAACGCUGGCGGCGUGCCUAAUACAUGCCAGUCGAGCGAACGGACGAGAAGCUUGCUUUUCUGAUGUUAGCGGCGGACGGGUGAGUAACACGUGGAUAACCUACCUAUAAGACUGGGAUAACUUCGGGAAACCGGAGCUAAUACCGGAUAAUAUUUUGAACCGCAUGGUUCAAAAGUGAAAGACGGUCUUGCUGUCACUUAUAGAUGGAUCCGCGCUGCAUUAGCUAGUUGGUAAGGUAACGGCUUACCAAGGCAACGAUGCAUAGCCGACCUGAGAGGGUGAUCGGACACACUGGAACUGAGACACGGUCCAGACUCCUACGGGAGGCAGCAGUAGGGAAUCUUCCGCAAUGGGCGAAAGCCUGACGGAGCAACGCCGCGUGAGUGAUGAAGGUCUUCGGAUCGUAAAACUCUGUUAUUAGGGAAGAACAUAUGUGUAAGUAACUGUACACAUCUUGACGGUACCUAAUCAGAAAGCCACGGCUAACUACGUG